RNAcentral lists this transfer RNA (75 nucleotides) under Acheilognathus meridianus. RNAcentral describes it as "tRNA-Lys". Lineage: Eukaryota; Metazoa; Chordata; Actinopteri; Cypriniformes; Acheilognathidae. The record is from RNAcentral.
CACUAGAAAGCUAACUACUGGAUAAGCGUUGGCCUUUUAAGCCAAAGUUUGGUGCCUACCGACCACCUCUAGUGA